This 491-nucleotide ribosomal RNA is filed under the name uncultured Massilia sp. Its description in RNAcentral is "bacterial SSU rRNA". It matches the Rfam family "Bacterial small subunit ribosomal RNA", at positions 20 to 507 of the family's 1533-position model. The record is from RNAcentral. Lineage: Bacteria; Pseudomonadati; Pseudomonadota; Betaproteobacteria; Burkholderiales; Oxalobacteraceae.
UGGCUCAGAUUGAACGCUGCGGCAUGCUUUACACAUGCAAGUCGAACGGCAGCGCGGGGCAACCUGGCGGCGAGUGGCGAACGGGUGAGUAAUAUAUCGGAACGUACCCAAGAGUGGGGGAUAACGUAGCGAAAGUUACGCUAAUACCGCAUACGAUCUAUGGAUGAAAGUGGGGGAUUCGCAAGAACCUCAUGCUCCUGGAGCGGCCGAUAUCUGAUUAGCUAGUUGGUGAGGUAAAGGCUCACCAAGGCGACGAUCAGUAGCUGGUCUGAGAGGACGACCAGCCACACUGGAACUGAGACACGGUCCAGACUCCUACGGGAGGCAGCAGUGGGGAAUUUUGGACAAUGGGCGCAAGCCUGAUCCAGCAAUGCCGCGUGAGUGAAGAAGGCCUUCGGGUUGUAAAGCUCUUUUGUCAGGGAAGAAACGGUUGAGGCUAAUAUCCUCGGCUAAUGACGGUACCUGAAGAAUAAGCACCGGCUAACUACGUG